CGUGUAGGCGGGAAGAUAAGUCAGAUGUGAAAUUCCAUGGCUCAACUGUGGCGCUGCAUCUGAAACUAUUUUUCUUGAGUGAUGGAGAGGAAAGCGGAAUUCCUAGUGUAGCGGUGAAAUGCGUAGAUAUUAGGAGGAACACCAGUGGCGAAGGCGGCUUUCUGGACAUUAACUGACGCUGAGGCGCGAAAGCGUGGGGAGCAAACAGGAUUAGAUACCCUGGUAGUCCACGCUGUAAACGAUGGAUACUAGGUGUAGGAGGUAUCGACCCCUUCUGUGCCGGAGUUAACACAAUAAGUAUCCCACCUGGGGAGUACGGCCGCAAGGUUGAA
RNAcentral lists this ribosomal RNA (332 nucleotides) under uncultured bacterium. Its description in RNAcentral is "bacterial SSU rRNA". It matches the Rfam family "Bacterial small subunit ribosomal RNA", at positions 568 to 898 of the family's 1533-position model. The record is from RNAcentral.